Acanthochromis polyacanthus (spiny chromis) is the source of this 848-nucleotide long non-coding RNA. RefSeq lists it as uncharacterized. The transcript is spliced from 3 exons. The record is from RefSeq and is a predicted model, not a curated record. NCBI's taxonomy places the organism in Eukaryota, Metazoa, Chordata, Actinopteri, Pomacentridae.
UUAUGGGGUUUUUCUAGUUAUUCUGGAGCUAAGUUAUGGGUUUUUCUAGUUCUUCUGGAGCUAAGUUAUGGGGUUUUCUAGUUAUUCUGGAGCUAAGUUAUGGGUUUUUCUAGUUCUUCUGGAGCUAAGUUAUGGGGUUUUUCUAGUUCUUCUGGAGCUAAGUUAUGGGGUUUUUCAAGUUCUUCUGGAGCUAAGUUAUGGGUUUUUCUAGUUAUUCUGGAGCUAAGUUAUGGGGUUUUUCUAGUUCUUCUGGAGCUAAGUUAUGGGUUUUUCUAGUUCUUCUGGAGCUAAGUUAUGGGGUUUUUCUAGUUAUUCUGGAGCUAAGUUAUGGGUUUUUCUAGUUCUUCUGGAGCUAAGUUAUGGGGUUUUUCUAGUUCUUCUGGAGCUAAGUUAUGGGGUUUUUCAAGUUCUUCUGGAGCUAAGUUAUGGGUUUUUCUAGUUAUUCUGGAGCUAAGUUAUGGGGUUUUUGUAGUUCUUCUGGAGCUAAGUUAUGGGGUUUUUCUAGUUAUUCUGGAGCUAAGUUAUGGGUUUUUUCUAGUUAUUCUGGAGCUACGUUAUGGGGUUUUUCUAGUUCUUCUGGAGCUAAGUUAUGGGUUUUUCUAGUUCUUCUGGAGCUAAGUUAUGGGGUUUUUCUAGUUCUUCUGGAGCUAAGUUAUGGGUUUUUCUAGUUCUUCUGGAGCUAAGUUAUGGGGUUUUUCUAGUUCUUCUGGAGCUAAGUUAUGGAGUUUUUCUAGUUCUUCUGGAGCUAAGUUAUGGGUUUUUCUAGUUCUUCUGGAGCUAAGUUAUGGGGUUUUUCUAGUUCUUCUGGAGCUAAGUUAUGGGUUUUUCUAGUUAUUCUGGAGCUAAGU